This 255-nucleotide non-coding RNA is filed under the name Ligilactobacillus ruminis. RNAcentral describes it as "Lactobacillus ruminis T-box sequence". It matches the Rfam family "T-box leader". Rfam says of the family: Uncharged tRNA acts as the effector for transcription antitermination of genes in the T-box leader family. The record is from RNAcentral. Lineage: Bacteria; Bacillati; Bacillota; Bacilli; Lactobacillales; Lactobacillaceae.
GAAAACAUGAUGAAGAGCAGAGUAGGUUUGCGGACGCUUGAAGAGAGCCCCUGGUUGGUGUGAAGAGGCAGUACGAAGCAGACUGAAGAUGGGCUUGGAAUGGUAUCGGUGAGCGAGGUGAGCCGAUAACGUGGUUGCGGACGUUACCACCGCAAGACUUUACGCAUGUGCGCAGUGUGUCGAAGUUUUUGAGGCAGCAUCUGAGAAGAUGUUGCGAAUUAAGGUGGUAACACGGUCUUGGUACCCGUCCUUUUU